AUGGUGUUUUCAAUGUACGCAUUGUAUGUUCGAAUAGCUUAAACGUUUAAACAGUAUUUCACGAAUUCUUUCUUUUAUCAUGUGGGCUGAUACUAUUUUAAUCGUAUUUAUUAGUAUUUGUACAGCUUUAUUAGGAGAAGGUUUAACAUGGUUGAUGGUUUAUAGAACAGAAAAAUACCAAAAAUUAAAAGCUGAAGUAGAAAAACAAAGUAAAAGACUGGAAAAAAGAAAAGAAGCACACGGAGAUUCAUUAGAUAAACAACAAAAAAAGAAGAUUGAACGGGAAGAAGAAAGAUUAAAAAACAAUAACAGGGAUUUGUCUCUUGUAAAAAUGAAAUCAAUGUUUGCAAUUGGAUUUGCAUUCACAGCUCUCCUUAGUAUGUUUAACAGCAUUUUUGAUGGCAGAGUUGUGGCAAGGUUGCCUUUUGUACCCAUUAGUUGGAUACAAGGUUUAUCACAUAGGAACCUUCCAGGAGAUGACUAUACAGAAUGUUCAUUUAUUUUUUUAUAUAUACUGUGUACGAUGAGUAUUAGACAGAAUAUUCAAAAAAUGCUUGGAUUUGCACCCUCUAGAACUGCAAGUAAACAGAGUGGAAGUAUUUUUGGUCCACCACCUCAACAAUUUAAAUGAACUUAAAUCAUUAUAUUGUAAAUUCAAUAUUUUAUGAUUCAUUGUGUAAUUAUUAUUUAAAUUUUGAUACCAUACUUGAUAAAUAUAUAAAAUUAACGAAAUAGACAAUUAUAAACACAAAAACGAUGUUUUGAUGUAACAGUAAAAAGAUAAAUUAGAAAUAUUUAAAAAUAAAUAGAGAAAAUAAUAUAUACAUGUUAUAAAAAUGUUAUAAAGGAAGUCUUUCAAUUUAAUAAUGCAGCAUAUUUUAGAAAAUAGGUAUGACUCAUGUAUUCCAUCAAGCAGCUCUUAUACAACAAUCAAUGUUAUAUACAAACAUAACGAUCAAUCAUAUACAAAAAAAUAACCACUACCUUUAAUUCAUAAAAAAUAUUUAAUACAAUAAUAGUAUAUCAGUGAUCUAUUUCAUGAAGCACAUGACCAAAUUUAUAAGUGAAAAUGUACUCUAUGAAUAUUAGACCUCUGAAUUUAACUACUUUAAAUCAUACAUACA
Molecule: RNA transcript, 1124 nt
Organism: Bombus pascuorum
Lineage: Eukaryota; Metazoa; Arthropoda; Insecta; Hymenoptera; Apidae
Gene name: calcium load-activated calcium channel
Exons: 5
Source: RefSeq, a predicted model, not a curated record